This 253-nucleotide ribosomal RNA is filed under the name uncultured bacterium. Its description in RNAcentral is "partial 16S ribosomal RNA". It matches the Rfam family "Bacterial small subunit ribosomal RNA", at positions 524 to 776 of the family's 1533-position model. The record is from RNAcentral.
GACGAACCGUGCGAACGUUGUUCGGAAUCACUGGGCUUAAAGGGCGCGUAGGCGGGCUCACAAGUCAGGGGUGAAAUCCCACGGCUCAACCGUGGAAGUGCCUUUGAUACUGGUGGUCUGGAGUGGGGUAGGGGCAUGCGGAACUGGUGGUGGAGCGGUGAAAUGCGUAGAUAUCACUAGGCCCGCCGGUGGCGAAAGCGGCGUGCUGGACCCCAACUGACGCUGAGGCGCGAAAGCCAGGGGAGCAAACGGG